This 253-nucleotide ribosomal RNA is filed under the name uncultured bacterium. RNAcentral describes it as "partial 16S ribosomal RNA". It matches the Rfam family "Bacterial small subunit ribosomal RNA", at positions 524 to 776 of the family's 1533-position model. The record is from RNAcentral.
UACGUAGGGGGCUAGCGUUGUCCGGAAUUAUUGGGCGUAAAGAGCUCGUAGGCGGCUUGUUGCGUCGACCGUGAAAACCCGGGGCUCAACUUCGGGCUUGCGGUCGAUACGGGCGGGCUAGAGUUCGGUAGGGGAGACUGGAAUUCCUGGUGUAGCGGUGAAAUGCGCAGAUAUCAGGAGGAACACCGGUGGCGAAGGCGGGUCUCUGGGCCGAUACUGACGCUGAGGAGCGAAAGCGUGGGGAGCGAACAGG